This 114-nucleotide small nuclear RNA is filed under the name Catagonus wagneri (Chacoan peccary). Lineage: Eukaryota; Metazoa; Chordata; Mammalia; Artiodactyla; Tayassuidae. The record is from RNAcentral.
GUGCUCACUUCAGUAGCACAUAUACUAAAAUUGGAAUGACACAGAGAAGAUUAGCAUGGCCCCUGCACAAGGAUGACAAAUUUGAUGCAAAUUCGUGAAGUGUUCCAUAUUUUU